RNAcentral lists this ribosomal RNA (317 nucleotides) under Stephanasterias albula. RNAcentral's name for it is "partial 12S ribosomal RNA". The record is from RNAcentral. Lineage: Eukaryota; Metazoa; Echinodermata; Asteroidea; Forcipulatida; Asteriidae.
UUUCUAAUUCUUCCUGGAGGAGCUUGCUAUCUAACCGAUAAUCCACGUAAUACCUCACCAACUUUUGAAUUUGACAGCCUGUAUACCAUCGUCGUCAGUUUACUUCACGAGAAAUGUAAACAUAAAGAAUUAAUAACACUCUUGACGUCAGAUCGAGGUGCAGCUAAUAAGUUGGGGAUAAGUGAGCUACAAUGAUAAAAAAUAAAAUUAAAAAAUAUAAAUGAAUAACAGAUUGAAAAUUAACGUUUGAAACAGRAUUCAGCAGUAAUGGGUAAAAGAAAAUACUCAUGAACAACCCCCCAAGCUCUAGAAUGCGC